RNAcentral lists this ribosomal RNA (686 nucleotides) under bacterium enrichment culture clone PF-1_21. Its description in RNAcentral is "bacterial SSU rRNA". It matches the Rfam family "Bacterial small subunit ribosomal RNA", at positions 1 to 682 of the family's 1533-position model. The record is from RNAcentral.
UAGAGUUUGAUCCUGGCUCACCUUGAACGCUGGCGGCAUGCCUAACACAUGCAAGUCGAACGGCAGCACAGUAGAGCUUGCUCUAUGGGUGGCGAGUGGCGGACGGGUGAGUAAUGCAUCGGGAUCUACCCNNNCGUGGGGGAUAACGUAGGGAAACUUACGCUAAUACCGCAUACGUCCUAUGGGAGAAAGCGGGGGAUCGAAAGACCUCGCGCGGUUGGACGAACCGAUGUGCGAUUAGCUAGUUGGUAGGGUAAUGGCCUACCAAGGCGACGAUCGCUAGCUGGUCUGAGAGGAUGAUCAGCCACACUGGAACUGAGACACGGUCCAGACUCCUACGGGAGGCAGCAGUGGGGAAUAUUGGACAAUGGGCGCAAGCCUGAUCCAGCAAUGCCGCGUGUGUGAAGAAGGCCUUCGGGUUGUAAAGCACUUUUAUCAGGAGCGAAAUACUACCGGCUAAUAUCCGGUGGGGCUGACGGUACCUGAGGAAUAAGCACCGGCUAACUUCGUGCCAGCAGCCGCGGUAAUACGAAGGGUGCAAGCGUUAAUCGGAAUUACUGGGCGUAAAGCGUGCGUAGGCGGUGAUUUAAGUCUGCUGUGAAAUCCCCGGGCUCAACCUGGGAAUGGCAGUGGAUACUGGAUCGCUAGAGUGUGAUAGAGGAUGGUGGAAUUCCCGGUGUAGCGGU